Acanthosepion pharaonis is the source of this 108-nucleotide non-coding RNA. The record is from the annotation of a GenBank genome assembly. Lineage: Eukaryota; Metazoa; Mollusca; Cephalopoda; Sepiida; Sepiidae.
UACGACCACAUCGCGUUGAAACACCGGUUCCCAUAUAAUCAUCGAAGUUAAGCAAUGUCGAGCCUGGUCAGUACCUAGAUGGGUAUUCGUUUGGUAAUAUUAAGUGCU